GAUGAACGCUGGCGGCGUGCCUAAUACAUGCAAGUCGAACGCAUUGUGGUUGAAAUGAUAUGAAGAACUUGUUCAGAUUUGAUUUUCAACAUUGCAAUGAGUGGCGAACGGGUGAGUAACACGUGGGAAACCUACCUCUUAGCAGGGGAUAACAUUUGGAAACAAAUGCUAAUACCGUAUAAUAAUUAAAACCGCAUGGUUUUAGUUUAAAAGAUGGUCUUGCUAUCACUAAGAGAUGGUCCCGCGGUGUAUUAGUUAGUUGGUGAGGUAAUGGCUCACCAAGACAAUGAUACAUAGCCGAGUUGAGAGACUGACCGGCCACAAUGGGACUGAGACACGGCCCAUACUCCUACGGGGAGG
Molecule: ribosomal RNA, 360 nt
Filed under: uncultured bacterium
Lineage: Bacteria
Description: bacterial SSU rRNA
Rfam family: Bacterial small subunit ribosomal RNA
Source: RNAcentral